AUUGAACGCUGGCGGCAGGCCUAACACAUGCAAGUCGAGCGGAUGAACGGAGCUUGCUCCUGGAUUCAGCGGCGGACGGGUGAGUAAUGCCUAGGAACCUGCCUGGUAGUGGGGGAUAACGUCCGGAAACGGGCGCUAAUACCGCAUACGUCCUUAGGGAGAAAGUGGGGGAUCUUCGGACCUCACGCUAUCAGAUGAGCCUAGGUCGGAUUAGCUAGUUGGUGGGGUAAAGGCCUACCAAGGCGACGAUCCGUAAACGGGCUGAGAGGAGGAACAGUCACAAUGGGAACGAGAGCAGGGUCAGACCUCGAGGGGGGGGCGGGGGUGGGAAUUGUUGGAAAAGGGGGGAAGGCUGAACCAGGCAAGGCGGGGGGUUGAAGAAAGGCCUUGGGGUUGAAAAGCCCUUUAGGUUGGAAGAAAGGGAGGAAAAGUAAACCCUUUCUUUUUGACGGUACCCAAAGAAAAAGCCCCGGCUAAAUUUGUG
This 484-nucleotide ribosomal RNA is filed under the name uncultured bacterium. Its description in RNAcentral is "partial 16S ribosomal RNA". It matches the Rfam family "Bacterial small subunit ribosomal RNA", at positions 29 to 507 of the family's 1533-position model. The record is from RNAcentral.